Molecule: ribosomal RNA, 253 nt
Filed under: uncultured bacterium
Lineage: Bacteria
Description: partial 16S ribosomal RNA
Rfam family: Bacterial small subunit ribosomal RNA
Source: RNAcentral
GACAGAGGGGGCAAGCGUUGUUCGGAAUUACUGGGCGUAAAGGGCUCGUAGGCGGCCAACUAAGUCAGACGUGAAAUCCCCAGGCUUAACCUGGGAACUGCGUCUGAUACUGGAUGGCUUGAAUUCGGGAGAGGGAUGCAGAAUUCCAGGUGUAGCGGUGAAAUGCGUAGAUAUCUGGAGGAAUACCGGUGGCGAAGGCGGCAUCCUGGACCGACAUUGACGCUGAGGAGCGAAAGCUAGGGGAGCAAACGGG